GCUCAGAUGACGGAAUGGCAGACGUAGAAGACUCAAAAUCUUCCGAAGGAAACUUCGUAUGGGUUCAAGUCCCUUUCUGAGCACCA
Molecule: transfer RNA, 86 nt
Filed under: bacterium
Lineage: Bacteria
Description: tRNA-Leu
Rfam family: tRNA
About the family: Transfer RNA (tRNA) molecules are approximately 80 nucleotides in length. Their secondary structure includes four short double-helical elements and three loops (D, anti-codon, and T loops).
Source: RNAcentral